This 253-nucleotide ribosomal RNA is filed under the name uncultured bacterium. RNAcentral's name for it is "partial 16S ribosomal RNA". It matches the Rfam family "Bacterial small subunit ribosomal RNA", at positions 524 to 776 of the family's 1533-position model. The record is from RNAcentral.
UACGUAGGGUGCGAGCGUUGUCCGGAAUUAUUGGGCGUAAAGAGCUCGUAGGCGGCUUGUCGCGUCGAAUGUGAAAACUCGGGGCUCAACCCCGCGCUUGCAUUCGAUACGGGCAGGCUCGAGUUCGGUAGGGGAGACUGGAAUUCCUGGUGUAGCGGUGAAAUGCGCAGAUAUCAGGAGGAACACCCGUGGCUAAGGCGGCUCUCUAGUACGGUACUGACGCUGAGACGCGAAAGCGUGGGGAGCAAACAGG